This 228-nucleotide ribosomal RNA is filed under the name uncultured Actinomycetales bacterium. RNAcentral describes it as "partial 16S ribosomal RNA". It matches the Rfam family "Bacterial small subunit ribosomal RNA", at positions 105 to 334 of the family's 1533-position model. Lineage: Bacteria; Bacillati; Actinomycetota; Actinomycetes; Actinomycetales. The record is from RNAcentral.
GGUGAGUAACACGUGAGUAACCUGCCCUUGACUUUGGGAUAACUUCAGGAAACUGGGGCUAAUACCGGAUAGGAGCUCCUGCUGCAUGGUGGGGGUUGGAAAGUUUGGCGGUUGGGGAUGGACUCGCGGCUUAUCAGCUUGUUGGUGGGGUGGUGGCUUACCAAAGGCUUUGACGGGUAGCCGGCCUGAGAGGGUGACCGGCCACAUUGGGACUGAGAUACGGCCCAG